AUUGAACGCUGGCGGAAUGCUUUACACAUGCAAGUCGAACGGCAGCACGGGGCAACCUGGUGGCGAGUGGCGAACGGGUGAGUAAUACAUCGGAACGUGCCCAAUCGUGGGGGAUAACGUAGCGAAAGUUACGCUAAUACCGCAUACGAUCUACGGAUGAAAGCGGGGGAUCGCAAGACCUCGCGCGAAUGGAGCGGCCGAUGUCAGAUUAGGUAGUUGGUGGGGUAAAGGCUCACCAAGCCAACGAUCUGUAGCUGGUCUGAGAGGACGACCAGCAACACUGGGACUGAGACACGGCCCAGACUCCUACGGGAGGCAGCAGUGGUGAAUUUUGGACAAUGGGCGCAAGCCUGAUCCAGCCAUUCCGCGUGCAGGAUGAAGGCCUUCGGGUUGUAAACUGCUUUUGUACGGAACGAAACGGUUCUCUCUAAUACAGGGGGCUAAUGACGGUACCGUAAGAAUAAGCACCGGCUAACUACGUGCCAGCCGCCGCGGUAA
RNAcentral lists this ribosomal RNA (498 nucleotides) under uncultured bacterium. RNAcentral's name for it is "partial 16S ribosomal RNA". It matches the Rfam family "Bacterial small subunit ribosomal RNA", at positions 30 to 523 of the family's 1533-position model. The record is from RNAcentral.